GCUGGGUAUGGUGGUGCAUGCCUGUAAUCCCAGGUACUCAGGAGGCUGAGGCAGGAGAAUUGCUUGAACCUGGGAGGUGGAGUUUGCAGUGAGCCGAGAUCGUGCCACUGCACUCCAGCCUGGGCAACAGAGUGAGACUCUGUCUCUA
Non-coding RNA from Homo sapiens (human), 148 nucleotides. It matches the Rfam family "Metazoan signal recognition particle RNA". From Rfam's summary of the family: The signal recognition particle (SRP) is a universally conserved ribonucleoprotein. It is involved in the co-translational targeting of proteins to membranes. The record is from Rfam. Lineage: Eukaryota; Metazoa; Chordata; Mammalia; Primates; Hominidae.